Molecule: transfer RNA, 72 nt
Filed under: Ovis aries (sheep)
Lineage: Eukaryota; Metazoa; Chordata; Mammalia; Artiodactyla; Bovidae
Rfam family: tRNA
About the family: Transfer RNA (tRNA) molecules are approximately 80 nucleotides in length. Their secondary structure includes four short double-helical elements and three loops (D, anti-codon, and T loops).
Source: Rfam by way of RNAcentral
UCUAUGCUGGCUCAGAUGGUAAAGAAUCUGCCUGCAAUGCAGGAGACCCAGGUUCGAUCCCUGGGUCAGGAA